GCCGACGUAGCUCAAUCGGUAGAGCAAUCGCCUUGUAAGCGAUAGGUUAGGGGUUCGAUUCCCCUCGUCGGCU
This 73-nucleotide transfer RNA is filed under the name Streptomonospora salina. RNAcentral's name for it is "tRNA-Thr". It matches the Rfam family "tRNA". From Rfam's summary of the family: Transfer RNA (tRNA) molecules are approximately 80 nucleotides in length. Their secondary structure includes four short double-helical elements and three loops (D, anti-codon, and T loops). Further hydrogen bonds mediate the characteristic L-shaped molecular structure. tRNAs have two regions of fundamental functional importance: the anti-codon, which is responsible for specific mRNA codon recognition, and the 3' end, to which the tRNAs corresponding amino acid is attached (by aminoacyl-tRNA synthetases). tRNAs cope with the degeneracy of the genetic code in two manners: having more than one tRNA (with a specific anti-codon) for a particular amino acid; and 'wobble' base-pairing, i.e. permitting non-standard base-pairing at the 3rd anti-codon position. Lineage: Bacteria; Bacillati; Actinomycetota; Actinomycetes; Streptosporangiales; Nocardiopsidaceae. The record is from RNAcentral.